AGUCCACAUCGACGGGGAGGUUUGGCACCUCGAUGUCGGCUCAUCACAUCCUGGGGCUGUAGUAGGUCCCAAGGGUUGGGCUGUUCGCCCAUUAAAGUGGUACGCGGGCUGGGUUCAGAACGUCGUGAGACAGUUCGGUCCCUAUCCGUCGCAGGCGUAGGAAAUUUGAGAAGACCUGUCCUUAGUACGAGAGGACCGGGAUGGACGUACCUCUGGUGUACCAGUUGUUCUGCC
This 234-nucleotide ribosomal RNA is filed under the name Clostridioides difficile. RNAcentral's name for it is "partial 23S ribosomal RNA". It matches the Rfam family "Bacterial large subunit ribosomal RNA", at positions 2497 to 2730 of the family's 2925-position model. The record is from RNAcentral. Lineage: Bacteria; Bacillati; Bacillota; Clostridia; Peptostreptococcales; Peptostreptococcaceae.